AUUAGGGUGGCAGAGCCCGGUAAUUGCGCGAGAUUUAAGACCUUGUCCCCAGAGGUUCAAAUCCUCUCCCUAAUA
Molecule: transfer RNA, 75 nt
Filed under: Neodon linzhiensis
Lineage: Eukaryota; Metazoa; Chordata; Mammalia; Rodentia; Cricetidae
Description: tRNA-Leu
Rfam family: tRNA
About the family: Transfer RNA (tRNA) molecules are approximately 80 nucleotides in length. Their secondary structure includes four short double-helical elements and three loops (D, anti-codon, and T loops).
Source: RNAcentral